GGCUUGUUGCUGUAGGGGUAUGAUUCUCGCUUUGGGUGCGAGAGGUCCCGGGUUCUAUUCCCGGAUGAGCGC
Molecule: transfer RNA, 72 nt
Filed under: Danionella cerebrum
Lineage: Eukaryota; Metazoa; Chordata; Actinopteri; Cypriniformes; Danionidae
Description: tRNA-Pro
Source: RNAcentral